This 428-nucleotide ribosomal RNA is filed under the name Vishniacozyma victoriae. Its description in RNAcentral is "eukaryotic LSU rRNA". The stretch from base 83 to 236 matches the Rfam family "5.8S ribosomal RNA". Lineage: Eukaryota; Fungi; Basidiomycota; Tremellomycetes; Tremellales; Bulleribasidiaceae. The record is from RNAcentral.
GAGGGUUUCCAUACACACCGUGAACUGUGGCUUCGGCCAUCACAAACUGUUAGUAAUGAAUGUAAUAUCAUAACAAAAACAAAACUUUUAACAACGGAUCUCUUGGCUCUCGCAUCGAUGAAGAACGCAGCGAAAUGCGAUAAGUAAUGUGAAUUGCAGAAUUCAGUGAAUCAUCGAAUCUUUGAACGCACCUUGCGCCCUUUGGUAUUCCGAAGGGCAUGCCUGUUUGAGUGUCAUGAAACCUCACCCCACUUGGGUUUUUGCCUGAGCGGUGGUGUAUUGGGUGUUGCCUUGCUAAAGGCUCGCCUUAAAGACAUAAGCACCUUGGAUGUAAUACGUUUCAUCCUUCUGGGUGGCUGAUAACCCCACAUAUUCAUGAUCUGGCCUCAAAUCAGGUAGGGCUACCCGCUGAACUUAAGCAUAUCAAU